GACGAACGCUGGCGGCGUGCUUAACACAUGCAAGUCGAACGGAAAGGCCCUGCUUUUGUGGGGUACUCGAGUGGCGAACGGGUGAGUAACACGUGAGUAACCUGCCCUUGACUUUGGGAUAACUUCAGGAAACUGGGGCUAAUACCGGAUAGGAGCUCCUGCUGCAUGGUGGGGGUUGGAAAGUUUCGGCGGUUGGGGAUGGACUCGCGGCUUAUCAGCUUGUUGGUGGGGUAGUGGCUUACCAAGGCUUUGACGGGUAGCCGGCCUGAGAGGGUGACCGGCCACAUUGGGACUGAGAUACGGCCCAGACUCCUACGGGAGGCAGCAGUGGGGAAUAUUGCACAAUGGGCGGAAGCCUGAUGCAGCAACGCCGCGUGCGGGAUGACGGCCUUCGGGUUGUAAACCGCAUUCGCCUGUGACGAAGCGUGAGUGACGGUAAUGGGUAAAGAAGCACCGGCUAACUACGUG
This 468-nucleotide ribosomal RNA is filed under the name uncultured bacterium. RNAcentral describes it as "partial 16S ribosomal RNA". It matches the Rfam family "Bacterial small subunit ribosomal RNA", at positions 28 to 507 of the family's 1533-position model. The record is from RNAcentral.